GCGAAGUCGCAAGACGAUGUAUAUGGACUGACGCCUGCCCGGUGCUGGAAGGUUAAAAGGAGAGGUGAGAGCUUUGAAUUGAAGCCCCAGUAAACGGCGGCCGUAACUAUAACGGUCCUAAGGUAGCGAAAUUCCUUGUCGGGUAAGUUCCGACCUGCACGAAUGGCGUAACGACUUCCCCGCUGUCUCCAACACCGACUCAGCGAAAUUGAAUUCUCCGUGAAGAUGCGGAGUAGCCGCGGCUAGACGGAAAGACCCCGUGAACCUUUACU
Molecule: ribosomal RNA, 272 nt
Filed under: Trieres chinensis
Lineage: Eukaryota; Bacillariophyta; Thalassiosirophyceae; Eupodiscales; Parodontellaceae
Description: partial Bacterial large subunit ribosomal RNA
Rfam family: Bacterial large subunit ribosomal RNA
Source: RNAcentral